GCAUUGGUGGUUCAGUGGUAGAAUUCUUGCUUGCCAUGCAGGAGACCCGAGUUCGAUUCCUGGCCAGUGCA
This 71-nucleotide transfer RNA is filed under the name Trichechus manatus latirostris (Florida manatee). RNAcentral describes it as "tRNA-Gly (GCC) (tRNA-Gly-GCC-5-1)". It matches the Rfam family "tRNA". Rfam says of the family: Transfer RNA (tRNA) molecules are approximately 80 nucleotides in length. Their secondary structure includes four short double-helical elements and three loops (D, anti-codon, and T loops). Lineage: Eukaryota; Metazoa; Chordata; Mammalia; Sirenia; Trichechidae. The record is from Rfam by way of RNAcentral.